This 383-nucleotide ribosomal RNA is filed under the name uncultured eukaryote. RNAcentral describes it as "partial 18S ribosomal RNA". It matches the Rfam family "Eukaryotic small subunit ribosomal RNA", at positions 592 to 976 of the family's 1831-position model. The record is from RNAcentral.
CAAUGGCGUAUAUUAAAGUUGUUGCGGUUAAAAAGCUCGUAGUUGGACCUCGGCAGGCAGGGGGUGGUUCGCUCUUAGCGCUACUGCCCCAUUUGCCUGUGUGAUUGGCGGAGGUUUCGGGGUGCUCUUCGUUGAGUGACCCGGGGCGCCGUCAGGUUUACUUUGAAAAAAUUAGAGUGCUCAAAGCAGGCUUUUCACGCUUGAAUAUUCGUGCAUGGAAUAAUGGAAUAGGAACUCGUUUCUAUUUUGUUGGUUUUCGGAAAUCGAGUUAAUGAUUAAUAGGGACAAUUGGGGGCAUUAGUAUUCAGACGACAGAGGUGAAAUUCUUGGACCGUCUGAAGACUAACUACUGCGAAAGCAUUUGCCAAGAGUGUUUUCAUUAA